AUUGAACGCUGGCGGCAUGCCUUACAUAUGCAAGUCGAACGGCAGCACGGGUGCUUGCACCUGGUGGCGAGUGGCGAACGGGUGAGUAAUACAUCGGAACGUACCUUAUCGUGGGGGAUAACGCAGCGAAAGUUGCGCUAAUACCGCAUACGCCCUGAGGGGGAAAGCGGGGGACCGUAAGGCCUCGCGCGAUUAGAGCGGCCGAUGUCUGAUUAGCUUGUUGGUGAGGUAAAAGCUCACCAAGGCGAUGAUCAGUAGCUGGUCUGAGAGGACGAUCAGCCACAAUGGGACUGAGACACGGCCCAGACUCCUACGGGAGGCAGCAGUGGGGAAUUUUGGACAAUGGGGGCAACCCUGAUCCAGCAAUGCCGCGUGAGUGAAGAAGGCCUUCGGGUUGUAAAGCUCUUUUGUCAGGGAAGAAACAGCAGCUCUAACACAGUCUGCGAAUGACGGUACCUGAAGAAUAAGCACCGGCUAACUACGUGCCAGCAGCCGCAGUAA
RNAcentral lists this ribosomal RNA (501 nucleotides) under uncultured bacterium. RNAcentral describes it as "partial 16S ribosomal RNA". It matches the Rfam family "Bacterial small subunit ribosomal RNA", at positions 30 to 523 of the family's 1533-position model. The record is from RNAcentral.